GAGUCGUAACAAGGUCUCCGUUGGUGAACCAGCGGAGGGAUCAUUA
Molecule: ribosomal RNA, 46 nt
Filed under: Fusarium sp. GI728
Lineage: Eukaryota; Fungi; Ascomycota; Sordariomycetes; Hypocreales; Nectriaceae
Description: partial small subunit ribosomal RNA
Rfam family: Eukaryotic small subunit ribosomal RNA
Source: RNAcentral